Molecule: ribosomal RNA, 433 nt
Filed under: uncultured bacterium
Lineage: Bacteria
Description: partial 16S ribosomal RNA
Rfam family: Bacterial small subunit ribosomal RNA
Source: RNAcentral
AACGAACGCUGGCGGCAUGCCUAACACAUGCAAGUCGAACGAGACCUUCGGGUCUAGUGGCGCACGGGUGCGUAACGCGUGGGAACCUGCCCUUAGGUUCGGAAUAACUCCCCGAAAGGGGUGCUAAUACCGGAUAAUGUCUUCGGACCAAAGAUUUAUCGCCUUUGGAUGGGCCCGCGUUGGAUUAGCUAGUUGGUAGGGUAAAAGCCUACCAAGGCGACGAUCCAUAGCUGGUCUGAGAGGAUGAUCAGCCACACUGGGACUGAGACACGGCCCAGACUCCUACGGGAGGCAGCAGUGGGGAAUAUUGGAAAAUGGGCGAAAGCCUGAACCAGCAAUGCCGCGUGAGUGAUGAAGGCCUUAGGGUUGUAAAGCUCUUUUACCAGGGAUGAUAAUGACAGUACCGGGAGAAUAAGCACCGGCUAACUCCGUG